RNAcentral lists this ribosomal RNA (490 nucleotides) under uncultured bacterium. RNAcentral describes it as "bacterial SSU rRNA". It matches the Rfam family "Bacterial small subunit ribosomal RNA", at positions 29 to 509 of the family's 1533-position model. The record is from RNAcentral.
AUUGAACGCUGGCGGCGUGCCUAACACAUGCAAGUCGAGCGGUAACAGGCGUAGCAAUACGUGCUGACGAGCGGCGAACGGGAGCGUAAUACAUGGGAAUCUGCCCUCUGGUGGGGAAUAACCCGGCGAAAGCCGGGCUAAUGCCGCAUGAGAUCUUCGGAUGAAAGCGGGGGACCGUAAGGCCUCGCGCCGUUGGAUGAGCCCAUGUCGGAUUAGCUUGUUGGUGGGGUAACGGCCCACCAAGGCGACGAUCCGUAGCUGGUCUGUGAGGACGGCCAGCCACACUGGGACUGAGACACGGCCCAGACUCCUACGGGAGGCAGCAGUGGGGAAUAUUGGACAAUGGGCGAAAGCCUGAUCCAGCGACGCCGCGUGUGUGAAGAAGGCCUGCGGGUUGUAAAGCACUUUCGAUGGGAACGAAAUGUGCCGGGCUAACACCCCGGCAAGCUGACGUUACUCAAUAGAAGAAGACACCGGCUAACUCUGUGCC